RNAcentral lists this ribosomal RNA (430 nucleotides) under Yersinia intermedia. RNAcentral describes it as "bacterial SSU rRNA". It matches the Rfam family "Bacterial small subunit ribosomal RNA", at positions 25 to 451 of the family's 1533-position model. The record is from RNAcentral. Lineage: Bacteria; Pseudomonadati; Pseudomonadota; Gammaproteobacteria; Enterobacterales; Yersiniaceae.
CAGAUUGAACGCUGGCGGCAGGCCUAACACAUGCAAGUCGAGCGGCAGCGGGAAGUAGUUUACUACUUUGCCGGCGAGCGGCGGACGGGUGAGUAAUGUCUGGGAAACUGCCUGAUGGAGGGGGAUAACUACUGGAAACGGUAGCUAAUACCGCAUGACCUCGCAAGAGCAAAGUGGGGGACCUUCGGGCCUCACGCCAUCGGAUGUGCCCAGAUGGGAUUAGCUAGUAGGUGGGGUAAUGGCUCACCUAGGCGACGAUCCCUAGCUGGUCUGAGAGGAUGACCAGCCACACUGGAACUGAGACACGGUCCAGACUCCUACGGGAGGCAGCAGUGGGGAAUAUUGCACAAUGGGCGCAAGCCUGAUGCAGCCAUGCCGCGUGUGUGAAGAAGGCCUUCGGGUUGUAAAGCACUUUCAGCGAGGAGGAAGG